GCCUUAGAGUUUGAUCCUGGCUCAGGACGAACGCUGGCGGCACGCUUAACACAUGCAAGUCGAACGAGAGAAGAGAAGCUUGCUUUUCUGAUCUAGUGGCGGACGGGUGAGUAACACGUGAGCAAUCUGCCUUUCAGAGGGGGAUACCGAUUGGAAACGAUCGUUAAUACCGCAUAAUAUAAUUGAACCGCAUGAUUUGAUUAUCAAAGAUUUAUCGCUGAAAGAUGAGCUCGCGUCUGAUUAGCUAGUUGGUAAGGUAACGGCUUACCAAGGCGACGAUCAGUAGCCGGACUGAGAGGUUGAUCGGCCACAUUGGGACUGAGACACGGCCCAGACUCCUACGGGAGGCAGCAGUGGGGAAUAUUGCACAAUGGAGGAAACUCUGAUGCAGCGAUGCCGCGUGAGGGAAGAAGGUUUUAGGAUUGUAAACCUCUGUCUUCAGGGACGAAAAAAGACGGUGCCUGAGGAGGAAGCUCCGGCUAACUACGUGCCAGCAGCCGCGGUAAUACGUAGGGAGCGAGCGUUGUCCGGAAUUACUGGGUGUAAAGGGAGCGUAGGCGGGAUCGCAAGUCAGAUGUGAAAACUAUGGGCUUAACCCAUAAACUGCAUUUGAAACUGUGGUUCUUGAGUGAAGUAGAGGUAAGCGGAAUUCCUAGUGUAGCGGUGAAAUGCGUAGAUAUUAGGAGGGACAUCAGUGGCGAAGGCGGCUUACUGGGCUUUAACUGACGCUGAGGCUCGAAAGCGUGGGGAGCAAACAGGAUUAGAUACCCUGGUAGUCCACGCCGUAAACGAUGAUUACUAGGUGUGGGGGGACUGACCCCUUCCGUGCCGCAGCAAACGCAAUAAGUAAUC
This 852-nucleotide ribosomal RNA is filed under the name uncultured Bacillota bacterium. RNAcentral describes it as "bacterial SSU rRNA". It matches the Rfam family "Bacterial small subunit ribosomal RNA", at positions 1 to 869 of the family's 1533-position model. Lineage: Bacteria; Bacillati; Bacillota. The record is from RNAcentral.